Molecule: unclassified non-coding RNA, 1251 nt
Filed under: Rhopalosiphum maidis (corn leaf aphid)
Lineage: Eukaryota; Metazoa; Arthropoda; Insecta; Hemiptera; Aphididae
Description: serine/arginine-rich splicing factor 7-like, transcript variant X1
Source: RNAcentral
CUCAUCGCGGACCGCCCGCACACCCGCUCGCCCGUCAGUGAGUAGCACGAGCACACUCCCGGCGGCCGGCACUUCCAUUCAGAACGUCAAAACCGAAUCGCUAAACAGAUUGAAGCGGCAGCGUUCGAGUGCCUUAUCUAUGCCGAGUGUUGAUGCGGGCCAGUGACCGACGACAAUAUCAUCUAUAGUACACACAGACACUCCCUCAAGAAGUCAAUACACCGUCUGGCUUUUUCGCGACUCUCCUCCACGACAACGCCGAAAGGAAAUCUGAAACGGACAGCCAUCAUCGCAUCGUCAUUCAGCUUUUCGAGGACGGCUCUCGACGUCUAAUACAUAACUACGACAAGUCAUAAGAUAUUAUUUCAAAUAUGUCAUCGUCAUCAAGAUACAGGGAUUCUGGUAAUCCAGAUUGCAAAAUAUAUGUCGGUGAUUUAGGAUCAUCUGCAUCCAAGCAAGAUUUAGAAGAUGCUUUUUCAUAUUAUGGUUCAAUUCGUAAUGUAUGGGUUGCCCGUAAUCCUCCAGGUUUUGCUUUUGUUGAAUUUGAGGAUCCAAGAGACGCAGAAGAUGCAGUUAGAGGUCUAGAUGGCAGAAGCAUUUGUGGUAGACGAGUCAGAGUAGAAUUAUCUAAUGCUGGAUCACGUAAAGGUGCUUAUAGAGGAGGCCCACCUCGUCGAGGACGUCCAUUCCAUCCUGAAGACAAAUGUUAUGAAUGUGGUGAUAGAGGACAUUAUGCUCGUGAUUGUAGACGUUUUAAAGGAGGACGACGCAGGAUGUUCGGCUGAGAGCGUCUCGUCUCGUAGUGUCGAUCGUCGUAGAGCUCUCAACCAAAAUAAUAUAUUUUGAUCUACUUCGAGCAAUGUGUGUUAGUCGUCGGACUACGGCGCAACUAUCUGUCUGUCUGCGUUUAUCGAUGUACUCAGCUACACUAGAACCCCAUCGAGCCCAACCGACCUAAUGAUUUUUAUUCUGAUGCUCUAAUUAGCUAUCGGUGAACGUACACAGACAUUCAGAGACCGAAAGAAUUAUAAUUUAGAUCUGCAUAACGCCACUGGUUGUCUACAUAGCAUUACCACAAUGUCAUUUUAGGAGAAUGUUGAACUUCGUUUUUUUAUGUCAUACACUCCUUCUCGAUCUCGUUCACGAUCAUAUAGCCGUGGUCGUCGUUCUCGUUCAGGUUCGAGAUCUCCUUCACGUUCCCGUUCAAGGUCUGUAUUAACUGGUCGUUCAAUUUCCAAGUCAAGAUCUCGC